UGAGUUUCGGUGCUCAGUUUAAUGACAUGGCGGUCGAUUUGAAUUUGGGGUUUAGUUUAACGACAUUUCGGUCGUUUGAAUAUGGGUUUAGUUUAGCGACAUUUCGGUCGUUUGGUUUGGGUUUAGUUUAGCGACGUUUCGGUCGUUUGAAUUUGGGGUUUAGUUUAACGACGUUUCGGUCGUUUGAAUAUGGGUUUAGUUUAGCGACAUUUCGGUCGUUUGAUUUGGGUUUAGUUUAGCGACGUUUCGGUCGUUUGAAUUUGGGGUUUAGUUUAACGACGUUUCGGUCGUUUGAAUAUGGAUUUAGUUUAGCGACAUUUCGAUCAUUUGGUUUGGGUUGGAGGUAUUUGGAUGACAUAGAUUUGGUAGAUUUGAUUGGGUUUUAUUUAUGGACUUUGGAUUUUGGAUCUUUGGGUUUUGGAUCUUUAUUUGUGGACUUUGGAUUUUUUGGGAGUUUGUUUGUGAACUUUGGGUUUGGGAUUUUAUUUUUGGACUUUGGGUUUUGGGAUCUUUAUUUGUGGGCUUUGGGAUUUUUGGGAUUUUAUUUGUGGACUUUGGGAUCUUUGUGAUUUCAUUUGUGGACUUUGAGAUUUUUGGGAUUUUAUUUGUGGACUUUUGGAUUUUUGGGAUUUUAUUUGUGGACUUUGGGAUUUUGUGGAUUUUGGGUUUUGGAUAUUUGGGUUUUGGGUUGAGAAAU
RNAcentral lists this long non-coding RNA (697 nucleotides) under Ananas comosus (pineapple). RNAcentral's name for it is "long non-coding RNA (ACOM_LNC038231)". The record is from RNAcentral. Lineage: Eukaryota; Viridiplantae; Streptophyta; Magnoliopsida; Poales; Bromeliaceae.